This is a non-coding RNA of Macaca mulatta (Rhesus monkey), 1894 nucleotides long. The record is from the annotation of a RefSeq genome assembly. Lineage: Eukaryota; Metazoa; Chordata; Mammalia; Primates; Cercopithecidae.
GCCACAAUUCAACCCUCUCAACUAUUCCCAGAAAUUCCAAAAACUCCUUUAAAGCAGCAAGUGCAGGGCAUGAAAAGGAGGAGCCAUGCUAGAGGAGAGCCUGGGAAUGGGGAAAUGAUUACAGGCUGUGACCUCACUGGCGCAGCCCCUCUCAGCGGCAGUGGAAAGCACAGACUAGACUUCUCACCACUGCACACCAGAAUCCUGCCCUGGGCCUUGCCUGGUCUGCCUGACUCUGCCAUGGGCUGCAGGCUCCUCUGCUGUGUGGCCCUCUGCCUCCUCCAAGCAGGUUCCUUGGACACAGCUGUUUCCCAGACUCCAAAAUAUCUGGUCAGGCAGACGGGAAAAAACGAGUCCCUUAAAUGUGAACAAAAUCUGGGCCAUAAUGCUAUGUAUUGGUAUAAGCAGGACUCUAAGAAAUUGCUGAAGAUAAUGUUUAUCUACAAUAAUAAGGAGCCCAUUUUAAAUGAAACAGUUCCAUAUCGCUUCUCACCUAAGUCUCCAGACAAAGCUCAUUUAAAUCUUCACAUCAAGUCCCUGGAGCUUGGUGACUCUGCUGUAUAUUUCUGUGCCAGCAGCCAAGACACAGCCCUGCAGAGUCACCACAUCCCUGUGCACAAACCUCCCGGAUCAGCUAGGAAGCUGUGGGCCAGUGUGUGCACCUGCACCCAAGGCUCCAGUCUCCACUCCCUGACGGCCUCUGAUGGAGUUUCAGUCUGUAGCACAGCCGGCUAGUGCACCUGAUGUGGCAGUUCUCCAUUUGAUGUACACAGAACUCUCCGAAUUCUGUUUAUCAGCUAAAGCAGGGGUUCACAACAAAGUCAGCAAAGUAUCAGGGCUCAGCUAACAAAACAGGAGCCUGUCCCAUGCACUGAAGAUCUUAACUGAUGGGAGAAGCCAUUUCUUAUCUUUGUCGGCUGCACAUAUGGGUACAUAUUUUAGCUAACGUUACGAUUACAAACGCAGUGUUGGUAAAAAUGGUUGAUGAGCAUAAGCAUAAAGGAAGGGGAAGGAAAGCAUUUCUAAGAUCAAGAGACAAUUUGGAUUAUCAGUGAGUACUUUAUUUAACAGAGAAAUAUUUGGAGGGGCAUGAAAUUCCAUGGCAAUAGGUAAACUGGAAAGUGUUGAGGAGAAGCCGGUGGAGGCAGCCUUGUGCCUUGUAGACUCCUUCUCUUCAAGAAGGGUGACCAGCGAGAGUCUCUCCCAAUUCAGAUGAACGUCUUCUUGAACUCUCCUCAACAGCAAGUGAUAGCUUGAUGACAGGGGAUAUUGGGAGACAUGCAAAGGACUUUGGAAACAAAUCCCUAGGUAGUGGUGAGCCACUGGUCCUACUCCAAGUGAAACAACAUGAUGAAACUGAUAUUUUGGUACAGGAACACUGAAAGUAGUAUGAAUCAGAAAGGAGAUAGAUUUUGGGGUGGUCUGAAGGAUUAGGAGACUUCUAAAUAUCCUCCAUGAAAGAAAGGGUUUAUGUAAAGCAUUGCGGACGAUAUACACUUGAGGCUCUGGAUUAUGUUAUCUCUUGGAAAGAGUGUUGGGUUUUAUUCUGGGAGGGUUAAAUGUAGGACUUGUUAGGGUCUAUUUCAGCUUCGCCCUCCCUCUUAGGGAGCCCCAGCACGUGGUCAUCAUUGCUAGUGCAUGGCCUUCCCAGGGUCUUAGUGGGAAUCACAGUGUAUUCACCACAUCACUCCACUGUAACUGGGUCUGAAUGCCCUGGCUCUUCUGAAAUCUCUGCCCUUGUCUUCAGCCUUCCAGAACUUGUUCUCUUCUCAGCCUUCGGGUCUGCCACCCUCUGCAUACACAAUUUAGGAUCUGGCUCAGGAAAAAAAAGGGGGGGGCAGGUUUCUUACAUAUGAUUUUUGGGUUCCUUUUUAGUACACUGUGUCCUAAAUCC